AGCCAUUAAUCCGGCCCCCACGGCACAAGGGCAGAAGGGGGUUGGGCUAAAUGACCCAAGGGGUCUCUUCUUCUCUUACAACCCUUAUUAUUAAUAUUAAUAUUAAUAUUAAUAUUGAGGCUGGGAGGCCAUCUGUCAGGAAUGCUUUGCUUGUGCAUUCGGUGCACAAAGGCAGAAGGGGAUUGGACUCAAUGGCCCAAGGGUCUAUUGUUGUUGUUGUUAUUAUUAUUAUUAUUAUUAUUAUUAUUAUUAUUAUUAUUAUUAUUAACAUUGAGGCUGGGAGGCCAUCCGUCAGGGGUGCUUUGCUUGUUCUUUCAGUGCACAAAGGCAGAAGGGGAUUGGACUCAAUGGCCCAAGGGUCUAUUAUUAUUACAGUAGAGUCUCACUUAUCCAACAUAAACGGGCCGGCAGAAUGUUGGAUAAGCGAAUAUGUUGGAUAAUAAGGAGGCAUUAAGGAAAAGCCUAUUAAACAUCAAAUUAGGUUAUGAUUUUACAAAGUAAGCACCAAAACAUCAUGUUAGACAACAAAUUCAGCAGAAAAAGUAGUUCAAUAUGCAGUAAUGCUAUGUAGUAAUUACUGUAUUUAUGAAUUUAGCAUCAAAAUAUCACGAUAUAUUGAAAACAUUGACUACAAAAAUGUGUUGGAUAAUCCAGAACGUUGGAUAAGCGAGUGUUGGAUAAGUGAGACUCUACUGUACUUCACAACCUCUGAGGUGUGGGCGAAACAUCAGGAGAGAAUGCUUCUGGAACAUGGCCAUACAACCCAGAAAAUGCACAACAGCCCAUUUAAUUUGUUAAAUUGUAAGUUGCACAUGAGAGACACCCUGCUUUUCAAUAUCCUUGAAACGAGACCUAUAUUUAAGUUGGGAUGAUACGUAGAUUGGUUUAAACUUAACGUAAGUGAUAAAUUGACCACCAUUUAAUGUAUUUUGUGACCAUUUUAUUGCAGCAGUUCUGGCUUCAUUUGAUGGUCUUUCGUUAUGGUGAAGGGACAUGGAGCAAUCCUACAUUGCAAUGUGAGCAGCAAAUUUGAUAAAUACAUAAA
This 1045-nucleotide long non-coding RNA is filed under the name Anolis carolinensis (green anole). RNAcentral's name for it is "lncRNA (ENSACAG00000035197.1)". The record is from RNAcentral. Lineage: Eukaryota; Metazoa; Chordata; Lepidosauria; Squamata; Anolidae.